Long non-coding RNA from Macaca mulatta (Rhesus monkey), 2551 nucleotides. NCBI's taxonomy places the organism in Eukaryota, Metazoa, Chordata, Mammalia, Primates, Cercopithecidae. The record is from Ensembl.
AGGCAGCCGAGUCUCAGUUGCCAUACCUACUGUCCUUCUCUGAAUUGUGCUGCAGCCCAGUUAAUAGAGCCUUCUGCACACACUAGUCCGUUAUUAUUCUGCAAACAUCUGUCGAAUGCUCACUAUUUGCUACUCCCCGUACUAGACGCUGAUGAUGGAAAGAUGAAUACAACUCCGUCCCAACCCCACAGGGGCUCAUAAGAUAGCGGAGGAACGGAGAUGAACAAGUUAUUUCGACCUCUGCUUUCCUACCACCUCUCACUACCACCCUGUAGUUUUAAUUUUAAAACACCUCUUCCGGGAAAUCCUUGUUUGUCUCACACAGUGUGGUGAUCUGCCCACCUUGGCCUCCCAAAGUGCUGGGAUUACAGGCAUGAGCCACCGCGCCUGGAUUAAAUGACACACUUCUAAAUAAUACCUCAGCAAAGAGGAAGUCUCAAAGGAAAGUUUUAAAAAAUAUACCGAACUGAAUGGAAAUGUAAAUACAACAUAUCAAAAUUGGUGGAAUGAAGCUAAGGUGGUGCUGAGAGGGAAAUUCAUAACACUAAAUGAUUACAUUCAAAAAAAUAAAAUGAUUACCUUAGAAAAGAUCCCAAAUUGAUCACCUAAGUUUCUACCUCAAGAAAAACGAAGAGCAAAAUAAACCCAAAACAAGCAGAAGGAAGGAAAUAAUAAAGAUAAAAGCAGAAAUCAAUAAAAUUGAAAAGGAUAACAAUAGGGAAAUCAAUGGAACAGGAAGCUGGUUGAUAAAUCUCUAGCAAGCCUGACAAAAUCAAAAGAGAGGGGACACAAAUUUCCAAUAUCAGUUAUGAAACAGAAUAUAAUUAUAAUUCUUGCAGGUAUUAGAAGAAUAAAAGGGAAUGCCAUGGACAAGUGUACACUUACAAAUUAAACAACUUUAGAAGAAAUCCUCAACUUUAGAAGAAAUGGACCAAUUCUUGAAAAGCAUAAAUGACUGAAGCUCAAACAAGCUGAAACAGAAUAGUUCUAUAACCAUGAAAUAAAUUGAACUGCCACUAAAAUGCUCUGAAAAAAGAAAUCUCUAAACCCAGAUGGCUUCACUGGAGAACUCUACCAAACAUUCUGAGAAGAAUUAGCUCUGAUUUUAAACAUUCUAUUCUAGAGAAUAGAAGAAGAGGGAAUACUUCUCUACUCACUUUAUGAGGCCAGUAUUACUUUGAUACCCGAACUGGACAAACACAGUAGAAUAAAAGGAAAUUACAGACCAAUAUUUCUCAAAAACUUAGACACCGAAAUCCUCAAGAAAACAUUGUUCUUUCUUGGAAUCCAUGGGGAAUUGGUUUCAAGAUCUGGAGAAUACCAAAUUCCACAGAUACUAAAGUUUCCUCUAUAAAAUGGCACAGUGUUUGCGUAUAAUCUAGGCAUAUCCUCCUGUAUAUGUUAAAUCACCUCUAGAUUACUUUAUAGACAUGCUCUGCUUAAUGACAGGAAUACAUUCUGAGAAAUGCGUUUGGUGAUUUUGUUAUUGUGCAAACAUCAUAGCAUGCACUUACACAAGCCUUGAUGGCAUAGCCUAGGACACACAUAGGCUAUAUGAUCUAGCUUAUUGCUCCUAAGCUACAAACUUAUACAACAUGUUACUGCAUUGAAUACCAUAGGCAAUUGUAACACAAUGGUAGGUAUGUGUAUAUUUAAACAUAGAAAAGUUACAGCAAAAAUAUAGAAUUAUAAUUUUAUGAGAUCAUCAUUGUGUAUGUGGUCUGUUAAUUGACUAAAAUGUUGCUAUGCACUUUGUGAUUGUAAUACCUAAUAUGGGGUAAAUGCUAUGUAAAUAGUUGUUAUACCAUAUUGGUUUUUAUUUUUAUUAUUUUCAUUGUUACAGUGUUAUUUUAUUGUUAUUUUUCUAAAUAUUUUUGAUCUGCAGUUGGUUGAAUUUAUGGAUGCAGAACCCACAGAUAUGGAGGAUUUUGACUGUACUAGCAAAUCAAACCCAAUAAUGUAUUUUUAAAAAUAUGACAUGGCAAAUAGGAUUUAUCCCAGGUAUGCAUGGCUAGUUCAGUAUUAAAAAAAUCAAUCAAUGUGAUCUACAUUAUCUACAUAUCAACAGGCUACAGAAGAAAAUUCAUAUGUAAUCACAUCGUUUGAUACAGAAAAAGCAUUUGACAAAAUGCAACACCCAUUCAUGAUUAAACCUCGGUCUGUUCCCUGCCCAAUAACUGCAUAAAUGGGAAUAAAUUUGUGACUAUUGGGAAUUAAGAAUGUUCCAUCAGUUGAUGAGCAAUUUGGCAAGUGUCUGGAAGACAGGAAAUGAUGGAUGAACCAAGGUGGAGGACACGCUCCAAUCCAGGACAUAAACUGCCUUAUGGAGAGGCCCAUGUGACGUGGAAUUGAGGGAGGCCUCUGCCCAAAAGCUAGUGAGGAACUGAGGUUCUUAGUCCAACAGUUCAUGGGGAACUCCCUGCCAUCGAUCAUGUGAGAGAGCUUGGAAGUGACUCUCUCAGUCAAGGCAGCCUUGGCUGAAAGCUUUAUGAGAGACCUUGAAGCAGGGGCACCUAGGUAAACCAUGCUCAAAUCCCUGACCAACAGAAAC